Molecule: long non-coding RNA, 1262 nt
Organism: Dunckerocampus dactyliophorus (ringed pipefish)
Lineage: Eukaryota; Metazoa; Chordata; Actinopteri; Syngnathiformes; Syngnathidae
Exons: 2
Source: RefSeq, a predicted model, not a curated record
CGUAAAGUGAAUGUUUAGAAGUGAGCCCAGUGGAAGUUACUACGGGCAGUUAACGUCGCAGACAGGCAAAAAAAGGAGCGCUUGGUUUGCUCACCUGCACAGUACAGGUUACGGAGCCCCGGAGGGGACAUGGAGAAAAAAAAAUAUGAUGGGUAAAAAAAAAAAAAAGACCGAACUUUUGCGUUCCCUCGCAAAACUUUUGCGAGAUAACGCAAUAUAGUUUUGCGUUCCGUCGCAAAACCUUUGCGAGAUAACGCAAAACUGUUUUGCGUUCCCUCGCAAAACUCUUUUGUGCGGAAACUGUUUAAGAGCAUAUUGCACUUCGGUGUACUCCGGUAAGGAGCCUCGUAACAAGACAGCCAUGGAGGAGGACUUGGAGCAUUUCCUGCAUUCUAGAGAGGUCCCUAAUGAGGACAUUAUGCGGAUGAAGAGAGACAAGGUUGACAAGGCAGUAUUGCGCAUAAUGGCGGAUGAGCAAAUGGCCAAUGACAUCAGGUCUUAUGGCGACCGGAUAGCUGUCCUGUCAUUGUGUCAACAAACAGACACUGAACAACGCAGCACCGAUAAGGAGACUCUUUUACAGAGAAUAAGAGAUAGAAUUGGGACUAGAAAAAUGAAAUCAAAAACCAAAGGAGCACUCCCUAGUGCAUCUGGUGUGUUCCAAAGGUCAGGAGUUCAAUGGCAAGACAGAGCAAUACUGCAGCAGAAAAGACCUCCAGGAAGAUUGAAAUUGGGUGGCUUCAUUAUGGCAAGCAUGAAUACCAGCAAGUCAGGACCAGGAAUGGUGGAGGAACGAGACAUGUCACUGUGGAAAAGAUAUUUUAGAAAAGGGAAAGGACCUAUUUUUCCCAGAUGGGUGCUCACCAAAGGGUCCAGCAUGUGACUUUACGUUUGACAUUUGUGAUUUUAAAGGAAAGAUGAUUCAGUUAGAUGACACUGUUGGCAGACUGUAUGAAAAAACAAAACUUCCAUUAUAUUACUUAACUGUCACUGUGACAGUGUCACUGUGUUAUUACCUUGUCACAUCACAGCUACUUUUAUAGAACGUGUGCAUUUACCAUGAAGCGGCAGUGAUGUUCCCAAUUGAUCUUUAUGAACAAACCAUACAGAUUAGGAAUAAUUUACAUUUAUUCAGCGUUGCAGGCCAGGAUGUCAUACAGAAUAAAGAAUGCAGCACCACAACAGUUACCAAAAUAGUUCUACAAGAAUAUAAGGCAUUUGUGUUGUUUCUAGUCAACUUACAAUAAAUGUUUUUCAACUUG